UGGGGAAUAUUGGACAAUGGGGGCAACCCUGAUCCAGCAAUGCCGCGUGUGUGAAGAAGGUCUUCGGAUUGUAAAGCACUUUCGACGGGGACGAUGAUGACGGUACCCGUAGAAGAAGCCCCGGCUAACUUCGUGCCAGCAGCCGCGGUAAUACGAAGGGGGCUAGCGUUGCUCGGAAUGACUGGGCGUAAAGGGCGUGUAGGCGGUUUACACAGUCAGAUGUGAAAUCCCCGGGCUUAACCUGGGAGCUGCAUUUGAUACGUGUAGACUAGAGUGUGAGAGAGGGUUGUGGAAUUCCCAGUGUAGAGGUGAAAUUCGUAGAUAUUG
Molecule: ribosomal RNA, 327 nt
Filed under: uncultured bacterium
Lineage: Bacteria
Description: partial 16S ribosomal RNA
Rfam family: Bacterial small subunit ribosomal RNA
Source: RNAcentral